Lottia gigantea (owl limpet) is the source of this 68-nucleotide non-coding RNA. Lineage: Eukaryota; Metazoa; Mollusca; Gastropoda; Lottiidae. The record is from Rfam.
UGGAGACGAAAUCCCACAGAUCUGCAGCAUCUGCUGUUCCUCUGCCGAAGGAGCAGAUUUCGACUCCA